GUAAACUGGAAUGAAUGAUGGGACGAGAAAAAUGCUGUUUCAGAUUAAUUUUGGUGAAUUUAAUUUGUUUUUGAGAAAGAAAAUGUGUUUAUGAAAGACGAGAAGACCCUGUAGAGUUUUAUUUAGGAAUUUAUUAAGAUAUAGAUUAGGUUUUAUAAAUUUAGUUGGGGUAACUUUGAUUUUAAAUAUUCUGGUUUUUAAUUAUAAAAUUAAGUUUAUUUGAACUAAUAAUUAGUUAUUUGGUUAAAUUACCUCAGGGAUAACAGCAUAAUUUAAUUAAGGAAUUCUUAUUUGUAAUUUAGUUUGUGACCUCGAUGUUGAAUUAA
RNAcentral lists this ribosomal RNA (326 nucleotides) under Zorotypus weidneri. Its description in RNAcentral is "partial 16S ribosomal RNA". The record is from RNAcentral. Lineage: Eukaryota; Metazoa; Arthropoda; Insecta; Zoraptera; Zorotypidae.